Molecule: ribosomal RNA, 397 nt
Filed under: uncultured bacterium
Lineage: Bacteria
Description: partial 16S ribosomal RNA
Rfam family: Bacterial small subunit ribosomal RNA
Source: RNAcentral
AUACGUAGGGGGCGAGCGUUGUCCGGAAUGAUUGGGCGUAAAGGGCGCGUAGGCGGCCGCUUAAGUCUGGAGUGAAAGUCCUGUUUUCAAGAUGGGAAUUGCUUUGGAUACUGGGGGGCUUGAGAGCAGGAGAGGUUAUCGGAAUUCCCGGUGUAGCGGUGAAAUGCGUAGAGAUCGGGAGGAACACCAGUGGCGAAGGCGGGUAACUGGACUGCAACUGACGCUGAGGCGCGAAAGUGUGGGGAGCAAACAGGAUUAGAUACCCUGGUAGUCCACACUGUAAACGAUGAAUGCUAGGUGUAAGAGGUAUCGACCCCUUUUGUGCCGGAGUCAACACAAUAAGCAUUCCGCCUGGGGAGUACGGCCGCAAGGUUGAAACUCAAAUGAAUUGACGGGG